UACGCAGGCAGCAAGCGUUGUUCGGAGUUACUGGGCGUAAAGGGUGUGUAGGCGGUUGUUUAAGCUUGGUGUGAAAUCUCCCGGCUCAACUGGGAGGGUGCGCCGAAUACUGAAUGACUAGAGUGUGGGAGAGGUGAGUGGAAUUCCUGGUGUAGCGGUGAAAUGCGUAGAUAUCAGGAGGAACACCGGUGGUGUAGACGGCUCACUGGACCAUAACUGACGCUGAGACACGAAAGCGUGGGUAGCAAACAGG
This 253-nucleotide ribosomal RNA is filed under the name uncultured bacterium. Its description in RNAcentral is "partial 16S ribosomal RNA". It matches the Rfam family "Bacterial small subunit ribosomal RNA", at positions 524 to 776 of the family's 1533-position model. The record is from RNAcentral.